UCUUGAGAGCGGCGGACGGGUGAGUAAGCCUAGGAAUCUGCCUGGUAGUGGGGGAUAACGCUCGGAAACGGACGCUAAUACCGCAUACGUCCUACGGGAGAAAGCAGGGGACCUUCGGGCCUUGCGCUAUCAGAUGAGCCUAGGUCGGAUUAGCUAGUUGGUGAGGUAAUGGCUCACCAAGGCGACGAUCCGUAACUGGUCUGAGAGGAUGAUCAGUCACACUGGAACUGAGACACGGUCCAGACUCCUACGGGAGGCAGCAGUGGGGAAUAUUGGACAAUGGGCGAAAGCCUGAUCCAGCCAUGCCGCGUGUGUGAAGAAGGUCUUCGGAUUGUAAAGCACUUUAAGUUGGGAGGAAGGGCAUUAACCUAAUACGUUGGUGUCUUGACGUUACCGACAGAAUAAGCACCGGCUAACUCUGUGCCAGCAGCCGCGGUAAUACAGAGGGUGCAAGCGUUAAUCGGAAUUACUGGGCGUAAAGCGCGCGUAGGUGGUUCGUUAAGUUGGAUGUGAAAUCCCCGGGCUCAACCUGGGAACUGCAUUCAAAACUGACGAGCUAGAGUAUGGUAGAGGGUGGUGGAAUUUCCUGUGUAGCGGUGAAAUGCGUAGAUAUAGGAAGGAACACCAGUGGCGAAGGCGACCACCUGGACUGAUACUGACACUGAGGUGCGAAAGCGUGGGGAGCAAACAGGAUUAGAUACC
This 702-nucleotide ribosomal RNA is filed under the name Pseudomonas brassicacearum. RNAcentral's name for it is "bacterial SSU rRNA". It matches the Rfam family "Bacterial small subunit ribosomal RNA", at positions 87 to 786 of the family's 1533-position model. The record is from RNAcentral. Lineage: Bacteria; Pseudomonadati; Pseudomonadota; Gammaproteobacteria; Pseudomonadales; Pseudomonadaceae.